AGCAGGGCCUUUUUUAAGGAUUUUCCCGUGGGGGGGGGGGCAUUUUUUGAAAAGGGACCUUUCUGUGAGAUAAUAUAUUAGAGGGGGAUAGCAAUGGCUGAAAGCCACGUGUGUGGAAAAUAUACCACGCAUGAAUGGGGUGUCUGGGGGUGUACUCCCCCAGAAAAUUUUUGAAAUUUGACUCCCGGAAAUGUCAUUUCAUGCAUUCUGAGCAUCCAAAUUUGCUCCAAAAUUUAUCCUAACUGUACUUGUAUUUGAAAUAAAUAAAGGAAGAAACGCACAAAAAGUAAAAAAAAAUUAACCAUCAUUUAUCAUUACUUAUUAGAGGAGGAUAGCAAUGGUCAGGUGUGUGGGGUGUACUCCCCCAGAAAAUUUUUGAAAUUUGAAGCACGGAAAUGCCAUUUCCUGCAUUCUGAGCAUUCAAAUUUGCUCUAAAAUUUAUGCUAACUAUACUUGUAUUUCAAAUAAAAGAUGGAAAAAAUGCACAAAAAGUAAAAAAGAAUAUUAACUGUAAUUUCUCAUUACUUAUUAGAGGGAUAAUCCCCAGAAAAUUUUUGAAAUUUGAAACCCGGAAAUGCUAUUUCCUGCAUUCUGAGCAU
Non-coding RNA from Paramuricea clavata, 599 nucleotides. The record is from the annotation of a GenBank genome assembly. Lineage: Eukaryota; Metazoa; Cnidaria; Anthozoa; Malacalcyonacea; Plexauridae.